This 253-nucleotide ribosomal RNA is filed under the name uncultured bacterium. RNAcentral describes it as "partial 16S ribosomal RNA". It matches the Rfam family "Bacterial small subunit ribosomal RNA", at positions 524 to 776 of the family's 1533-position model. The record is from RNAcentral.
UACAGAGGGGGCAAGCGUUGUUCGGAAUUACUGGGCGUAAAGGGCGCGUAGGCGGCCGCCUAAGUCAGACGUGAAAUCCCUCGGCUCAACCGGGGAACUGCGUCUGAUACUGGGUGGCUUGAAUCCGGAAGAGGGAUGCGGAAUUCCAGGUGUAGCGGUGAAAUGCGUAGAUAUCUGGAGGAACACCGGUGGCGAAGGCGGCAUCCUGGACCGGUAUUGACGCUGAGGCGCGAAAGCCAGGGGAGCAAACGGG